GCAUAACAUAUAUUAUUCAUUGUUUUUGAACUUCUGUUCUUCAUCCCAAUACAAACCUCAACUAUUGGUUGACUGAAGCGAUAGCAGCAGCAUGAAAAUUGAAAGAGGGUUUUUCAAGCUCAUGCAUGACAAUAAAAGCCAACCAUAUACAUAUACAGUCCAUCUAAAAAUGGACUGAUCAUUCAAUUUACAUAAAAAUAUUUACCUACAAUUAUACCAUAUGAAAUUUAUUUUUUUGAGCUCGUCAAGGAAUCCAUGACCUGAGCCAAAUUAAUUACCCUGUGAGUUUGUCAAGCCGGGAGUCCAUGAUCUGGGAGACAGUUUCAAGAAACACAGCUUCACUCAUGCCAGGGAGCAGGGAAUCCUCUGCUUCACGAACAAUCUCCUCGAUCACUGAUUCCUUAUUCAGGGUUUCUCUGCACAUGAUACUUCCAAUGGCAAAGGGAGUGAGACCUCUCUUUACCCCUCUCUUCAGAAGCAUGGUGGAGAUUCUAAGUGUACGAGCAGACUCAAGAGGAAUGUCCCACCCAUAACAUUUCAGAAGUGCGAUAUCUUGUUCUGCAUCCAGUGAAUCUAUGUAAUCAAUUACCUUAGGCGAGUAAGGCUGGUGGGCUUGAGGCCAGUAGAGCCAAUCAAAUGUGCAAUCUUCAAAUUUCUCGGGCAAGCAAUAACCAUGAUCAAUUGGAAUGAGCUUUAUCUGACCAUCCUCCCCUUUGCCAACCAAUAUAUUUCCUGCAUGCCUAUCUGUGUUGGCCAUUCUCAUAUCUAACACACUGAUCUUGUGCACCUCUUCCACUGGGAAAGCCCCAGGUCCCAUUUCAUCGCAACUCCCUUCAUUCUUCAUAAACAUCUGUAAAGAUCCGGUCUUUACAUUUUUCAUUGCAUAUUCAUAUCCUUCCGGAUAGUUGAAUCCUUCAUGCAAGCAUUGAACAAUUAUAGUAGGAGGUACACCAGCAAAGCCCAUAACCUCACCAGUUAAUGCCCUUGGACCACUUCUUGGAUGAUCCAAUAAGUAUGCUGCUACUUCCCUCA
RNAcentral lists this unclassified non-coding RNA (1032 nucleotides) under Hevea brasiliensis (rubber tree). The record is from RNAcentral. Lineage: Eukaryota; Viridiplantae; Streptophyta; Magnoliopsida; Malpighiales; Euphorbiaceae.